Molecule: long non-coding RNA, 123 nt
Organism: Ipomoea nil (Japanese morning glory)
Lineage: Eukaryota; Viridiplantae; Streptophyta; Magnoliopsida; Solanales; Convolvulaceae
Exons: 3
Source: RefSeq, a predicted model, not a curated record
AAUAACAAUACCAAGUAGAAGAUCCAAGUCGUGUGUACUACACACUUUCCUUAAAACUGAUUCGCUACCUCCCGAUGGUGCUAGAAGCGUUGUAGUAUCAGUCUCCCAAGAUAAAAUGGAUCA